UGAAUACGAGACGCUAAGGCGUCGAAGUAGUGUAUGUCAUACUUCCAAGAAAAGCUUGCACUGUCAUAGAUAAAAAACGCCUGUACCAUAACCGACACAGGUGGGUAGGUAGAGUAUACUAAGGGGCGCGAGAUAACUCUCUCUAAGGAACUCGGCAAAAUAACUCCGUAACUUCGGGAGAAGGAGUGCCUUAUUCUUAAGGUUGCAAUAACAAGAUCCAAGCAACUGUUUUAUCAAAAACACAGGUCUCCGCUAAGUCGUAAGACGAUGUAUGGGGGCUGACGCCUGCCCAGUGCCAGAAGGUUAAAGAAGCUGGUUAGCAUUUGCGAAGCUAGUAACUGAAGCCCUGGUGAACGGCGGCCGUAACUAUAACGGUCCUAAGGUAGCGAAAUUCCUUGUCGGGUAAGUUCCGACCCGCACGAAAGGCGUAAUGAUUUGGAUACUGUCUCGGAGAGGGGCUCGGUGAAAUAGACUUGUCUGUGAAGAUGCGGACUACCUGCACCAGGACAGAAAGACCCUAUGAAGCUUUACUGUAACUUGAAAUUGAAAUUGGACUUUAUUCGCGCAGUAUAGGUGGGAGGCGUUGAUUAUAAUCUUGCGGGAUAUUGGAGCCAUUAGUGAGAUACCACUCUUGUAAUGUUAGAUUCUAACUUUGAAUCAUUAUCUGGUCAAAGAACAGUUUCAGGCGGGCAGUUUGACUGGGGCGGUCGCCUCCUAAACGGUAACGGAGGCGUACAAAGGUUUCCUCUGAACGGUUAGAAAUCGUAUCUAGAGUGUAAAGGCAUAAGGAAGCUUGACUGUGAGACCUACAAGUCGAGCAGGGACGAAAGUCGGUCUUAGUGAUCUGACGGUACUGAGUGGAAAGGCCGUCACUCAACGGAUAAAAGUUACUCUAGGAUAACAGGCUGAUCUCCCCCAAGAGUUCACAUCGACGGGGAGGUUUGGCACCUCGAUGUCGGCUCAUCGCAUCCUGGGGCGGUAGUACGUCCCAAGGGUUGGGCUGUUCGCCCAUGAAAGCGGUACGCGAGCUGGGUUCAGAACGUCGUGAGACAGUUCGGUCCAUAUCCGGUGUAGGCGUUAGAAUAUUGAGAGGAGCCUUCUUUAGUACGAGAGGACCGAGAAGGACAUACCUCUGGUGUACCAGUUAUCGUGCCAACGGUAAACGCUGGGUAGCUAUGUAUGGAGUGGAUAACCGCUGAAAGCAUCUAAGUGGGAAGCCCACCUCAAGAUAAGUAUUCUCAC
This 1242-nucleotide ribosomal RNA is filed under the name metagenome. RNAcentral describes it as "bacterial LSU rRNA". It matches the Rfam family "Bacterial large subunit ribosomal RNA", at positions 1564 to 2817 of the family's 2925-position model. The record is from RNAcentral.